RNAcentral lists this small RNA (805 nucleotides) under Histoplasma capsulatum. RNAcentral's name for it is "hypothetical RNA". The record is from RNAcentral. Lineage: Eukaryota; Fungi; Ascomycota; Eurotiomycetes; Onygenales; Ajellomycetaceae. RNAcentral also lists the same sequence under 1 other name.
AGCAUUGGCGCGAAUCUCAAGCCUGAUACUUCCGUCGAAUUUUCCCUCGAUUUCCUGGAUAAAUCGCGACGUGGCGAAAAUACUCGCAUUGGUGUUUGUCUGGAGGUUGAAAAUCCAUUGCAGGAACAUUUCACGACCAUUAGGAGAAGCUCGACACUCAUCUAGUGCGUCGAUGACAAUAAAUGUCCUUUGAUAAGAAGCUGCAAUUUUCUGUAGUGAACUCCGGAGCUCAUCCAGUGAAGGACGGGUAUUUACGCGUUUAUGUCGAUUAUAGAGGUCCUUUACAACUUCAACUACAGAAGGCUGUCCCUGAAGUAAUUGCUUUAACAGACUUGCAAUGAGAUCAGCCGGCUUCUGUUCCUGUUGUUGCUUGAAGUUGCAAUAUAGAUAUGCGAUCCCAACGGAAGGGUCAUUUUGAAAUCUCCUGUGAAGGUCGUGGACAACAAUAGAUGUGAUAAUUGUUUUGCCUGCCCCGGGUAUGCCUGGGCAGAAUAGAGUUUGUUUGGGUUCUCUGAGCCACUGUUGGAAUUUAUCUGAUUGCAAUAGCCAUUCUCCGGUACAUUCCUGUCGUUGGGAAAUCAAGUCAUUUUGCUGGGGAGCAUAAUUCAUUGGUGUGAGCCACUCAGAAAUGGUUUGAUGCUCUUGGUUUUGUUGGUGAGAAUGAAGUUGGUUGACGAUAUUGAUCACUCCUUCAAGUUGACCUGCGAAACCAUGGUUUGUUAGAAUUGCUGAGGCUUACGAAUACUCCGUCCAAGAAUCAUUGAUGUUAACCAACCAAACAGAAGAUUUAAAAAAUUGAUGGGCC